This 489-nucleotide ribosomal RNA is filed under the name uncultured bacterium. RNAcentral describes it as "partial 16S ribosomal RNA". It matches the Rfam family "Bacterial small subunit ribosomal RNA", at positions 28 to 506 of the family's 1533-position model. The record is from RNAcentral.
GAUGAACGCUAGCGAUAGGCUUAACACAUGCAAGUCGAGGGGCAGCAUGGUCUUAGCUUGCUAAGACUGAUGGCGACCGGCGCACGGGUGCGUAACGCGUAUGCAACUUGCCUCACAGAGGGGGAUAACCCGUCGAAAGACGGACUAAUACCGCGUACACUUGGGAUAGGGCAUCCUGACCCAAGGAAAUGAAAUUCGCUGUGAGAUAGGCAUGCGUCCCAUUAGCUAGUUGGUGAGGUAACGGCUCACCAAGGCGACGAUGGGUAGGGGAACUGAGAGGGUGAACCCCCAAACUGGUACUGAGACACGGGCCAGACUCCUACGGGAGGCAGCAGUGAGGAAGAUUGGUCAAUGGGCGAGAGCCUGAACCAGCCAAGUCGCGUGAAGGAUGACUGUCUUAUGGAUUGUAAACUUCUUUUAUACGGGAAUAACAAGAGCCACGUGUGGCUCCCUGCAUGUACCGUAUGAAUAAGCAUCGGCUAACUCCGU